CGUGAAGCUGGAUUCGCUAGUAAUCGCGCAUCAGCCAUGGCGCGGUGAAUAACGUUCCCGGGCCUUGUACACACCGCCCGUCAAGCCAUGGAAGCCGGGGGCGCUUGAAGUGCGUUGCCGCAAGGCGCGCCCUAGAGCGAAACCGGUGACUGGGGCUAAGUCGUAACAAGGUAGC
RNAcentral lists this ribosomal RNA (175 nucleotides) under uncultured bacterium. RNAcentral describes it as "partial 16S ribosomal RNA". It matches the Rfam family "Bacterial small subunit ribosomal RNA", at positions 1319 to 1500 of the family's 1533-position model. The record is from RNAcentral.